This 460-nucleotide ribosomal RNA is filed under the name uncultured bacterium. Its description in RNAcentral is "partial 16S ribosomal RNA". It matches the Rfam family "Bacterial small subunit ribosomal RNA", at positions 338 to 795 of the family's 1533-position model. The record is from RNAcentral.
CCUACGGGAGUCAGCAGUGAGGAAUAUUGGUCAAUGGGCUUACGCCUGAACCAGCCAAGUCGCGUGAGGGAAGACUGCCCUAUGGGUUGUAAACCUCUUUUGUCAGGGAGCAACGCCGGCUACGUGUAGCCGGACUGAGAGUACCUGAAGAAAAAGCAUCUGCUAACUCCGUGCCAGCAGCCGCGGUAAUACGGAGGAUGCGAGCGUUAUCCGUAUUUAUUGGGGUUAGGGGUUGCGUAGGCGGAAUUCCAAGUCAGUGGUAAAAUCGGGGGGGUAAACCGUGCUACGACGUUGAAACUGGCGUUAUUGAGUGUGCGAGAAGUAUGCGGAAUGCGCGGUGGAGCGGUGAAAUGUAUAGAUAGCACGAAGAACUCCGAUUGCGAAGGCAGCAUACCGGCGCCUAACUGACGGUGAAGCACGAAAGCGUGGGUAUCGAACAGGAUUAGAUACCCGUGUAGUC